CGAGAGCCAGGUCCGCGCAGGCGCGCGCCGCCCCGCACCUCUCGCCGUGCGGGAGCAAGACACCUGGGCCCUUCUGAGCUGUCUGUCUUCCCACCGCCCACCCCGCGAGUCUCCUUAAGGCUCCUUCUCGGUCUCGGUCGUCAGGAGGAGGGUACGCCGCCUUCCCACGGGUGACCUCGCUUCCUCCCCGAUACAUCUUAGGAAACAAGACAGGGAAGAAUGGGCGUUUUGUGAGCAAGGAUGAGCCUUGAUGACAAAUUUAAGACCGGAGUAUGAUGGAAUGCAAUGGAAACAAGAGGAUCUCCUAACUUAGACUGGGAAUGCCAGUGCCUCUCUAGAAAAGAUCAUAGAUAUUAAGAGCAACUAGGAAGAUAAUUGUUAUAAUGGAAAGCAUCCUGGACCAGGAAUCAUGGAGAGCUUACGUCUAUUUUUAUCUCUGGCUCUAAGGUGUGUGGGCAUGAACAAGUCACUAGUCACUUUAUGGUUCUCCGUAUCUGAUAAAUGAAGAUAAUUCAUUCUCUAUCUACUUCAUGAAA
Neofelis nebulosa (Clouded leopard) is the source of this 536-nucleotide long non-coding RNA. RefSeq lists it as uncharacterized. The transcript is spliced from 3 exons. NCBI's taxonomy places the organism in Eukaryota, Metazoa, Chordata, Mammalia, Carnivora, Felidae. The record is from RefSeq and is a predicted model, not a curated record.